GGGCGCAAGCCUGAUCCAGCCAUGCCGCGUGAGGGAUGAAGGCCUUCGGGUCGUAAACCUCUGUCAGUUGGAACGAUGGGUCUAAAGGUUAAUACCCUUUAGACUUGACGGUACCUUCAAAGGAAGCCCCGGCUAACUCCGUGCCAGCAGCCGCGGUAAUACGGAGGGGGCAAGCGUUGCUCGGAAUUACUGGGCGUAAAGGGUCCGCAGGUGGCUUUGUAAGUUAGAUGUGAAAUCUCAGGGUUCAACCCUGAAACUGCAUCUAAUACUGCUUAGCUUGAGUACAGGAGAGGUUGGCGGAAUUCCCGGUGUAGCGUUGAAAUGCGUAAAUAUCGGGAGGAACACCAUUGGCAAAGGCGGCCAACUGGCCUGUUACUGACACUCAGGGACGAAAGCGUGGGGAGCAAACGGGAUUAGAUACCCCGGUAGUCCACGCCCUAAACGAUGGAUGCUAGGUGUAGGGAUGAAAAUCUCUGUGCCGUAGUUAACGCAUUAAGCAUCCCGCCUGGGGAGUACC
RNAcentral lists this ribosomal RNA (517 nucleotides) under uncultured delta proteobacterium. RNAcentral's name for it is "bacterial SSU rRNA". It matches the Rfam family "Bacterial small subunit ribosomal RNA", at positions 373 to 884 of the family's 1533-position model. The record is from RNAcentral. Lineage: Bacteria; Deltaproteobacteria.